GCGUCUUAAGCAUGCAAGUCAAACGGGAUGUAGCAAUACAUCUAGUGGCGAACGGGUGAGUAACGCGUGGAUGAUCUACCUACGAGAUGGGGAUAACUAUUAGAAAUAGUAGCUAAUACCGAAUAAAGUCAAUUAAUUUGUUAAUGGAUGAAAGGAAGCCUUUAAAGCUUCGCUUGUAGAUGAGUCUGCGUCUUAUUAGCUAGUUGGUAGGGUAAAUGCCUACCAAGGCGAUGAUAAGUAACCGGCCUGAGAGGGUGAACGGUCACACUGGAACUGAGAUACGGUCCAGACUCCUACGGGAGGCAGCAGCUAAGAAUCUUCCGCAAUGGGCGAAAGCCUGACGGAGCGACACUGCGUGAAUGAAGAAGGUCGAAAGAUUGUAAAAUUCUUUUAUAAAUGAGGAAUAAGCUUUGUAGGAAAUGACAAAGUGAUGACGUUAAUUUAUGAAUAAGCCCCGGCUAAUUACGUGCCAGCAGCCGCGGUAAUACGUAAGGGGCGAGCGUUGUUCGGGAUUAUUGGGCGUAAAGGGUGAGUAGGCGGAUAUAUAAGUCUAUGCAUAAAAUACCACAGCUCAACUGUGGAACUAUGUUGGAAACUAUAUGUCUAGAGUCUGAUAGAGGAAGUUAGAAUUUCUGGUGUAAGGGUGGAAUCUGUUGAUAUCAGAAAGAAUACCGGAGGCGAAGGCGAACUUCUGGGUCAAGACUGACGCUGAGUCACGAAAGCGUAGGGAGCAAACAGGAUUAGAUACCCUGGUAGUCUACGCUGUAAACGAUGCACACUUGGUGUUAACUAAAAGUUAGUACCGAAGCUAACGUG
RNAcentral lists this ribosomal RNA (816 nucleotides) under Borreliella garinii. Its description in RNAcentral is "bacterial SSU rRNA". It matches the Rfam family "Bacterial small subunit ribosomal RNA", at positions 44 to 859 of the family's 1533-position model. The record is from RNAcentral. Lineage: Bacteria; Pseudomonadati; Spirochaetota; Spirochaetia; Spirochaetales; Borreliaceae.